CAAGGAAUUUUCCCCAAUGGGCGCAAGCCUGAGGGAGCAACGCCGCGUGCAGGACGACGGCUUUCGGGUUGUAAACUGCUUUUGCGUGGGACGAUAACGACGGUACCACGCGAAUAAGCCCCGGCUAACUCUGUGCCAGCAGCCGCGGUAAUACGGAGGGUGCAAGCGUUGUCCGGAUUUAUUGGGUUUAAAGGGUGCGUAGGCGGUUUAUUAAGUCAGUGGUGAAAGCCCCCAGCUCAACUGGGGAACUGCCAUUGAAACUGGUAGACUUGAGUACAGACGAGGUAGGCGGAAUUUAUGGUGUAGCGGUGAAAUGCAUAGAUACCAUAAAGAACCCCGAUAGCGAAGGCAGCUUACUAGACUGUAACUGACGCUGAGGCACGAAAGCGUGGGGAGCGAACAGGAUUAGAUACCCCCGUAGUCC
RNAcentral lists this ribosomal RNA (424 nucleotides) under uncultured prokaryote. RNAcentral describes it as "bacterial SSU rRNA". It matches the Rfam family "Bacterial small subunit ribosomal RNA", at positions 355 to 796 of the family's 1533-position model. The record is from RNAcentral.